GGGAGAUAGCUGGUUCUCCCCGAAAGCUAUUUAGGUAGCGCCUCGUGAACUCAUCUUCGGGGGUAGAGCACUGUUUCGACUAGGGGGUCAUCCCGACUUACCAACUCGAUGCAAACUGCGAAUACCGAAGAAUGUUAUCACGGGAGACACACGGCGGGUGCUAACGUCCGUCGUGAAGAGGGAAACAACCCAGACCGCCAGCUAAGGUCCCAAAGUCAUGGUUAAGUGGGAAACGAAGUGGGAAGGCUCAGACAGCCAGGAUGUU
Molecule: ribosomal RNA, 265 nt
Filed under: Vibrio parahaemolyticus
Lineage: Bacteria; Pseudomonadati; Pseudomonadota; Gammaproteobacteria; Vibrionales; Vibrionaceae
Description: partial 23S ribosomal RNA
Rfam family: Bacterial large subunit ribosomal RNA
Source: RNAcentral